CCCCCCGGCCCGGGAUAGCCCAGGGAAACCUGGAUUAAUACCGGAUGAGACGGGACCCGCGAAGGCGGGACCCGGGAAAGGCGCUGCGGCGCCGGCGGGGGAUCGAGUCCGCGUCCCAGUUAGCUAGACGGCGGGGUAACGGCCCACCGUGGCGACGAUGGGUAGCCGGCCUGAGAGGGUGACGGCCACAUUGGAACUGAGGACACGGUCCAGACUCCUACGGGAGGCAGGCAGCUAAGAAUCGUUCCGCAAUGGGCGAAAGCCGUGACGGAGCGACGCCCGCGUGAACGAAGAAGGCCGUGAGGUUGUAAAGUUCUUUUCGGGAGGGGGAACAACCGUGGCAGGGAAUGGCCGCGGGAUGACGUGAAUCCCGGAAUAAGCCCCGGCUAACUACGUGCCAGCCGCUGC
This 408-nucleotide ribosomal RNA is filed under the name uncultured bacterium. Its description in RNAcentral is "bacterial SSU rRNA". It matches the Rfam family "Bacterial small subunit ribosomal RNA", at positions 129 to 518 of the family's 1533-position model. The record is from RNAcentral.